GCAAGUCUAGAGCUGUCAAAUGGU
RNAcentral lists this non-coding RNA (24 nucleotides) under Arabidopsis thaliana (thale cress). Lineage: Eukaryota; Viridiplantae; Streptophyta; Magnoliopsida; Brassicales; Brassicaceae. The record is from RNAcentral.